CCUUGUGUAGCUCAAUGGAAGAGCAGCGGUUUGUGAGACCGCAGACGACGGAUCGUUACCGUCCACAGGGAC
Molecule: transfer RNA, 72 nt
Filed under: Mycobacterium phage Nanosmite
Lineage: Duplodnaviria; Heunggongvirae; Uroviricota; Caudoviricetes; Vilmaviridae
Description: tRNA-His
Rfam family: tRNA
About the family: Transfer RNA (tRNA) molecules are approximately 80 nucleotides in length. Their secondary structure includes four short double-helical elements and three loops (D, anti-codon, and T loops).
Source: RNAcentral